GCUCAUCCUUGCCUGCACUAGGAAUUGCUCAGACUUGAGAACUCUCACCAAGCUGGUAAGCAAGACCCAUACUCAUCACUCCCUUGACUGGAUGGCUUUUCUUACUUAUUAAGCAUUGCAUUUCUUUCCUGUAAACUGCAUGUUUGGGCAACUUCCUACUGGAUGGCUGUGUCCUACAGGGUUCUGCUUGCUCCUUGCAAAGAAAUUAGCCCUUUGUCAUAUGUGUUACAAAUACCUCUUCUGUAUAACCCUUUCUCUUUGGCUCUGUUUAUGGUAAUGUUUUUGCAAUGCUUUCUUAUAAAGAUAAUGUUCAAGUUGCAUCUUGAAGGAUGAAUCAUCACAGUAAUUACUGGCACCUAUGUGUGCUUCAGACAUGCUGAACUUGCUUCUGAGAGGUGAACGAGAUAUUAACUCAUUUACUUCCACCCCCCAAAGAUCAUUUACUUUUCCCUGAAACCCCAGGGGGUAAACCUACAACCUCCUCUAUUUUAAGAGAAGAAACAAGCAGGUGGUCGGGUCAGAGAAGUAACUUGUCAGGACCUCGCAGCUGGUGAAAGCAGAGACAGGAAUCAAAACCACAAGAAGCCAUUUGCCAGGCAGUCUGGGCACAGUAGCAGAGACUUGGAGGGGCCCGCCUGAGGCUGGGCUGACACUGGAGAGAAAGGGCAAAGGAAGCUGGUGAACACAGGGCGAGGGGUUCUCACUUGAUUAGAGGGGCCUCCACAUUGAGUUUUCAUGAACUCAGGGUCCAUGUCUAGACCUUCUUCACAGCCUGAAGAAAAUGUCCAGGGAGCUGGAAGGAAAUGGAAACACACAUCAUUGUGCCUGAAUACACACGAAUGCUGUAAGGCCCGUGUCUUAGUUAGGGUUUUAUUGCUGUGAACAGACACCAUGACCGAGGCAACUCUUGUAAGGGACAACAUUUAAUCAUCAAGAUGGGAGCAUCGCAGCUUCCAGGUAGGCAUGGUGUAGGAGGAGCUGAGAGGUCUACAUCUUGUUCCAAAGGAAAACAGGGAGAAGACUGGCUCAUAAGCAGUCAGAAGGAGAGUCUCAAAGCCCACCUGCACAGUGACACAGUUCCUCCAAUAAGGCCACACCUACUCCAACUAGGCCAUAUUCCUAAUAGCUGCAUUCCCUAGGCCAAGCAUAUUCAAGCCACCACAGCACGUUACCAGGCUAAGUCAGUGACUCAAUAAUCUUUCCCAGGAUCACUGACAUGGCUCCUGGUAUUCCCAGCCAUGGGGUGGGGAAGCCUUAUAUACAUACUCCACCUUGCACAGAUGGCCUCUGCUUUAAGGGGCUCUGGCAGCAAAUGUUUCUCUCGGUGGCUAUGUUACCACACACAGGUGCAUUUUGGGAUGUCUUUUGGGGACAGCCUUGGACAAGGUACCAUUCUCCAAGAGAACACCUCCAAGAAGAUAGAUCUACAGCCCGACAGUCAUGUACUGCCUUCAAAGACAGAGAAAAAUGAUGGCAGAUUAUGUGUGCCUCUGUCAUUAAUAUCUUAGAGCCUACUUGUAAUCUCAGCACUUGGGAGGUACAGGCAAGAGGAUCAGGAGUUUGUCAUCCUCUGUUGUGUAUCAAGUUCAAAGCCAGCCUGCCCUAUAUGAGAUCCUGCUCUAAAAACUUUUUAAAAAUUAAAAAACUACAGUGUCUUUCCAACUUAGAGGUGGUAUUAAGUCCUGUGUGAUGGACAGAAGAUUCUGCCUUGACAAAAUGUCAUGUUGCUUACUAAUAGUGCCCUGCUCCGCUACCUCUUGAUGGUGUCCGCCAGCUUUGCUGAUGCUUCUCAUGACUGAGAUGGGAACUGUAGGAACUCUGGCUUCUGAAGCAAUGUGCUGAGUGAGGAAGAGUCCAUGAUGCAGAGCCUAGUAACUCAGUAUCACCCAUCAGGGAUGCCAAGACGGUAGCAGCACCCAACCCAGUCCCCAUUCUGUGCCCCGGCAGGUACGGCUAACCAAUCAUGUCAUUUUGCCUUCUGAACCAGACUGUGACUCUUUGUAUCUCUCACCUCAGUCUAACGGCUCAAAGCAGCAAUGCUGGGGUCAGACAAACCUGAGUUUAGGUCCUGAGAAUCAUAGACUUAGCAUCUCUAAGCUCUGUUUUUCUUCCCAUUAAUCAGUCCCCAAAACUGUGGCAGGGUAAAAUGGGCAGCUUGUCACAAAAACGCCCUGAUAAGUGUAAAUCCCAGUUUGAUUCAUACUGGGAAAAUUGCAUGUGUAGCUAAGCUUAGAUCAGUCUGAAGUCAGCCCCUCCUUUAGAAGAGCGAGGCUGUCUCCCUACGUUUUACAUUUACUCACUGAUUUACUUCUAAUUGCCAUUUGGAUAGGUAGGUAGGGCAGGUCCUGUUCUAGACUCUGGAGCAAAGGUCCUUUCUUCUACUUGAAGAGCUUCCAUUAUGGUGAGAAGAUAGACAGUCAACUGUCAAGCUCUUACUAUCAUGUACAAAUCAUGUAGUGCUGAUAAAUGGAGGUGCUGUGAAGAUUCCAGUCUCCUAACACUGAGAGAUGGAGAUGACAAGCCCUCUGGUACACCAUGGAUCUGUUCUCUCUCAUGCAAUUCACCUUCUUACCCAUGCAAUCAUAUACACAAUCAUUCAACACUGCGACAAUAAAAUGAUUCUCAAGGGGUCAAUCCCUGUCAAAGGGAAGUUAAAUCAGGAAAACCUUUGAUCCUUAGAGAAGCUCUUCUUUAUAAUCAAGUUGAGGAUUAGCCAUAUCCACAACAGUAAGACCUAUAUUUACAGACUCUGGGAUCCCCAUUGAUAAGAAUUUCCUCUGGAUACUGAUAAGAACUUACUGUGAUGUGUGCACAAGAAGUUCUUUGGAGAGUUUUGUAGUGGGGUGAGAAGAUAAGUUAUCCGUCUAUAUGGAAGUGGCUGACAAAUUGUGAUCUACUCAAACGAGGGGAUUUAUGAAACCAGAUGCUAUAAAAAGUAAAGGAUAGAUGUAUGUAAACUACAGGAACACGUGGAAACAACACUCCCACUCAGAUGGGCUCUGGGUCCCCUACGGCACAGCAGCAUUGCUGUCCCAUAGAGUCCUUGGGAUGUUUUGUCCAUUUUUUUUAAAAGACAGAAUCUCUGUAACCCAGGGUGACCUUGAACACCUGAUUCUACUGUCUGUAUGUUCCAAGUGCUGGGAUUAUAGGCAUGUGUCACCAUGACAUCAGAUUCUUGAGGUUAUUUUGCUAUAUUAAAAAUACUUACAGAUAAUAGAUAUGAAAGUGUAUUAUGCAUUUCUCCAAAGUUGGUUUUGGGUGUGUGAAGGAUAAUAGAAGGAAUUUUUGCACUCCAUUUUGUUCCCUUUUCAAUGUGUUAUUGAAUCGAAUGCUUGUACUCUCCGUACAUUUAAAAAUAUUAUGUGGGACCUG
RNAcentral lists this long non-coding RNA (3372 nucleotides) under Mus pahari (shrew mouse). RNAcentral describes it as "predicted gene 43135 (MGP_PahariEiJ_G0005765.1)". Lineage: Eukaryota; Metazoa; Chordata; Mammalia; Rodentia; Muridae. The record is from RNAcentral.